UACGAGGGUGCAAGCGUUAAUCGGAAUUACUGGGCGUAAAGCGUGCGCAGGCGGUUUGUUAAGUCUGUUGUGAAAUCCCCGAGCUCAACUUGGGAAUUGCAAUGGAUACUGGCAAGCUGGAGUAUGGUAGAGGAAGGUGGAAUUCCCGGUGUAGCAGUGAAAUGCGUAGAGAUCGGGAGGAACACCAGUGGCGAAGGCGGCCUUCUGGACCAAUACUGACGCUCAUGCACGAAAGCGUGGGGAGCAAACAGG
This 252-nucleotide ribosomal RNA is filed under the name uncultured bacterium. Its description in RNAcentral is "partial 16S ribosomal RNA". It matches the Rfam family "Bacterial small subunit ribosomal RNA", at positions 524 to 776 of the family's 1533-position model. The record is from RNAcentral.